Molecule: ribosomal RNA, 301 nt
Filed under: uncultured bacterium
Lineage: Bacteria
Description: partial 16S ribosomal RNA
Rfam family: Bacterial small subunit ribosomal RNA
Source: RNAcentral
CAGUAGCCGCGGUAAUACGGAGGGUGCAAGCGUUAAUCGGAAUUACUGGGCGUAAAGCGCACGCAGGCGGUCUGACAAGUCAGAUGUGAAAUCCCCGGGCUUAACCUGGGAACUGCAUUUGAAACUGUCAGGCUGGAGUCUUGUAGAGGGGGGUGGAAUUCCAGGUGUAGCGGUGAAAUGCGUAGAGAUCUGGAGGAAUACCGGUGGCGAAGGCGGCCCCCUGGACAAAGACUGACGCUCAGGUGCGAAAGCGUGGGGAGCAAACAGGAUUAGAGACCCGUGUAGUCCCUGUCUCUUAUAA